GGGAUUGCCUCAGUAACGGCGAGUGAAGCGGCAACAGCCCAGAUUUGAAAUCCGGCUUUCGGGCCCGAAUUGUAAUCUGCAGAUGAGGCUUUGGGUUACGCGCCGUCCAAGUUCCCUGGAAUGGGACGCCACAGAGGGUGAGAGCCCCGUACCGACGUGCGCCGCGCCUAUUUAUGGCCCAUUCGAAGAGUCGAGUAGUUUGGAAAUGCUGCUCUAAUCGUGGGGUAAAUCUCCCAUAAGGCUAAAUAUUGGCCAGAGACCGAUAGCGCACAAGUAGCGUGAGCGAAAGAUGAAAAGAGCCUUGGAUAAGGGCGUCAAAAAGUAUGUGAAAUUGUUAUGGGGGAAGCGCUUAGUGCCAGACGUGGCUUCGGCUGAUUACCCGGCGUUCUUCGCCGGCGCACUCUGCCGUCGCCAGGCCAGCAUCGGUUCGGCUCGGGGCUUACUGCCGUUAGGAACGUGGCCCUUCGGGGUGUUAUAGCCUAGCGGUGACGUCUCGCGCUGGACUGAGGAUCGCGCAUCUGCUCGGAUGCUGGCGUAAUGGCCCUCAGCGACCCGUCUUGAAACACGGACCAAGGAGUUGACCUAGUAUGCGAGUGUUUGGGUGUCAAGCCCUCACGCGCAGUGAAAGCGAACGCAGGUGGGAGCCUCGGCGCACCAUCGACCGAUCCUGAAGUUUACGGAUGGAUUUGAGUAGGAGCAUACUGGGUCUGACCCGAAAGAAGGUGAACUAUGCAUGAAUAGGGUGAAGCCAGAGGAAACUCUGGUGGAGGCUCGCAGCGGUUCUGACGUGCAAAUCGAUCGUCAAUUUGUGCAUGGGGGCGAAAGACCAAUCGA
RNAcentral lists this ribosomal RNA (834 nucleotides) under Coleodictyospora muriformis. RNAcentral's name for it is "Coleodictyospora sp. WD-2021a partial large subunit ribosomal RNA". It matches the Rfam family "Eukaryotic large subunit ribosomal RNA", at positions 71 to 938 of the family's 3401-position model. Lineage: Eukaryota; Fungi; Ascomycota. The record is from RNAcentral.